Molecule: unclassified non-coding RNA, 3078 nt
Filed under: Hevea brasiliensis (rubber tree)
Lineage: Eukaryota; Viridiplantae; Streptophyta; Magnoliopsida; Malpighiales; Euphorbiaceae
Source: RNAcentral
GUCCUAUUUAUAUCCUGCAUCAUUCCCCAUUUUUUUAUACAUUUUCUUUUAAGAUCUUGUGGGUAUUUAAUUUAGUUGUUUUUCUUAUGGUGGGUAUGUGAAUUCUGUUGGGAUUUGUUUAAAAAUUCUUGAAUUUGGACCAUUCAGGGUGAAUCUGAUAAUGGGUAGCCUUUUGGAGAAUAAAUUUGCAGAAUUAUGCAAAUUCAAGGAGGAAUGGAUUCUACAGAUGCUUUGAUAUUGGGAAAGUAAUCAAUCAAGUAAAACACGAAAUUAGGGGAGGCUCAAAAUGCCAGCUGAGGAGGAAGCUCAAGCUAUUGAGAGAAGGAAUGUGUUAGUUGGGAUAAGAAUUGAUAACCAUAGCAGAGAACUGCUGAACUGGGCUCUUGUGAAAGUUGCUGAACCUGGAGACUGUGUUAUUGCAAUUCAUGUUUGUCGAAGUUCCAGAGGUGCUUUGAAAGACAAGCCCUUGUUGGAUAGUUAUUUAGAAGUGUAUGAUGGCUUAUGUUCUCUAAAGAAGGUGGAUCUUAUCGGUCAGGUAUGCACAGGAAUUUCAGUUCAAAGGACUCUGGUAAGAGAGGCAAAGAUCCAUGAUGCUGUGGCUGUAGUUGUGGGGAUCAGCAAACAAAGUGCUCUAGGGGGUUGGACUUCCACUGCUGGAUAUUGUGCUAAGCGACUGCCUCCAACCACUGAUGUUUUGGCUAUCCACAACGGAAAAAUCUUGUUUGGAAGGUGCAACAAUAAUCAACUACCAGGCUUCCGCGGAGAUCCAAAACCAAGUCUAAAUCUACAUGAAAGUCCCUUGUCAGAUGAUGUCCGGUCAGAAUUUGGAGAUUCUGAGGUAGAUACUGUAACAUCUAGCAUUGAAGUUCUAACAAGAUGUGGGAGCGAAGACUCAAAGGAUGAAGUUCCAAGCCUUCCACAUGAACUCAAGAAGAGACCAACUGCUCAUUAUACAGGAGAUAUUUUGGAUCAGAGGCCUGGUUGGCCACUGCUUCGGAGAGCAAGUUCAGCUAGUCCGGAGAACCUGCAGGCAAGGGAAUUGUCUGUAGUGCAAUGGGCAAUGAGCUUACCAAUUCGUUGGCCACAUAAAAAUCCUCUAGGUUCAAGAAUAGAUAGAUCACCAGAAGGGCAGACAAGUGACUUCUUGGAAGAGAGCAAUAGGAUUAGUUCUUAUGGAUCAGGGGAAGUGCAUUAUAGCUUGGAGAUUCUGCUGAAAACAAAAUUUUCUGGUUGCAAGUGGUUCAAUCAUGAGGUUCUGAAAACUGCAACUUCAAAUUUUUACUCAGGAAACUUAAUUGGGAAAGGAGAAUGUAACCGCGUGUACAAAGGAAUUCUUCCAGAUGGCAAGCGAGUGGCAGUAAAGAUUCGUAGGUCGUCCCCAGAAGCAAGGAAAGAUUUUGCUCAAGAAGUUGAAAUAAUCUCCUCAUUAAACCACAAGAACAUUAUAAGUCUCUUGGGGGUUUGCAUCAGAGACACUGAUCUCAUUUCUGUUUAUGAUUUGUUCUCUAAGGGAAGCGUAGAGGAAAAUCUACAAGGUAAAGCUUCAUUACAUUUUUAUUCUCCAUUUGAUGAAACUUUACAGAAACAAUGCUGAGGUGAAAAUUCAUAUCAAAUGUUUAGGUAAUAACAAAGACAAAUCUGCAUUAACAUGGGAAAUGAAGUCUAAAAUUGCUAUCAAAAUUGCUGAAGCCUUAACUUACAUACACAGCGAAUGUUUACCGCCUGUUAUUCAUAGAGAUAUCAAAUCUUCGAACAUUCUUCUUUCAGAUGAGUUUGAACCGCAGGUAUUCCACCAGACCAAAAUGUUCUCCAAACUCUUAUGACUGUUACAUGAUUCUAACAUUAAUUAUUAUUGUUCUAUGAGAUAGUUAUCUGAUUUUGGGCUUGCAAUAUGGGGGCCAACAACUUCAUCUUUUAUUACGCAAUGCGAUGUAGUUGGAACAUUUGGAUAUCUUGCUCCUGAAUAUUUCAUGUAUGGGAAAGUCAGUGACAAGAUUGAUGUGUAUGCUUUUGGUGUCAUUCUACUAGAGUUGUUAUCAGGACGAAGACCAAUUGGUUAUGAGACUUCUAAGGACCAGGAGAGCUUGGUGAUGUGGGUAAGAGUCUUCUGCAUAAUUAGAAUGUUCACUUCUGUUAAUUAGUUUCAUCUCUAACAUUGAGUUCUGUUGAUUCAGGCAAAACCAAUAAUAGAUUGUGGAAAUGCAAGAGACAUAAUAGAUCCAAAUUUAGAUGAAUACUUUGAUGAGCCUCAGAUGCAAAGAAUGGUUCUUGCAGCCAAACUGUGCAUCACAAGAUCAGCUAGGCUACGUCCUAAAAUGAUUCAUGUAUUACAUUUCAGUCUAAAUUUUGAUUAAAAAAAAAUUAUGUUCCUUGGUUGCACUAUUAGAUAGGUAAUAUUUUCCCUUUCUUUUCCCCAGGUUUUGAAGCUCCUAAAAGGGGAUAAAGAUGCAGUGAAGUGGGCGAACAUUCAAAAUGAGUAUCUAAAGGAUAUUGAAAACCAAGAGGAAAAUGAUGAUGAAGUUUAUCCAAAUUCUAGUGCAGAGUUACAUUUGAAUCUUGCAUUGCUUGAUUUGGACGAUGAUUCUAUAUCAUCUAGUAGUUUCGAACAAGGGAAUAAUAAUCUUUCUAUGGAGGAAUACUUGAAAGAAAGGUGGAGCCGAUCGUCAAGAUUCAACUAGUUUUGUUUUAAUACUCUCUUUUACUGCUUGUUUCACAGCCAAAUUUUCCACAAGCUUGCAGAACAUGUAGCUUGUGACUGUACAGUAGAGGGAAAAAAAAAUGCAUGUACCCCAUGGUGAGGUUUUUUUUUUGUAGAUGUAGAAUUGUUGCUAGCAUGUUCAAUGUGAUGAUGAAUAAAUCAGGAUCCAAGCCAAUUAGGAAAUCUUUUCUGUAACACAUCCUACUGUGGAAAUAAAUCAGAAAGGAAAGAACAGUACGAGACUCUGUAACAACACAGACAUUUCCUUAAUAAGAACGUUCCGAUGAGGCUGCAGCAGUAUCACCCUGCAGCAAUCUUUCAAAUAUGUACAGAGUACUCCAGAAUUUCUGCUUAUAUGACAGCCAUUGGGCUAAAAUAAU